UCAUCAAGAUCUCAAGAUCUCUUCAAGAAUCUUUUAUAUCUCUAUAAAAAAAACCCUAUUAGGUUCACCAUCUUCUCAAACAUUUCACUCACACAAACCCAACACUCACAUAUACUCUCCCUCUCUCGAUUUCAUUACACAAACACAAAGGAAAUUUUAUUCUCAAACACACAUGGGAAACUAACCCUCUCAUUCAUCAUCUUCCUCAGACACACACAUAUAUAAAACCCCUCUAUCAUCUUCAUCAGGUUCCUAAUCUAAAUCACAACACUGAACUUACAUCAUUACUCUCAUCUUUCUCUCGAUCUAUGCAGCAAACACCCACACGACUACAAUCAGACUCCACUCCCUCGUUCCUCCCUCAUGAGCAGCCGACAACCCCACCCCCCUCUCCUGAUGCUUCGCGACAGACAAGUUGGAGUUGGUCUCUGGCAGAUUUCCGACCGUCGCACCCCACCCCCUUUUCGAUGUGUGUAACCGACCGACCACCACCACCACCGUUUGGUGGUGGUGCGAUGACGAAACGAGGAAAGAUAGGGAUAGACUGAGAAGAGAGAGAGAGAGCCGAGAUGAAAGAAGGAGCUGAGAAGAGGAGAGAGAGAGCCGUCAACGGUGUUGGCCGAAGGCUACCAGAGCCGCGUCGGAAGUUUUACGGCGGUGGUGAUGGCGAUUAUUGUCAGCAGAUUUGGGUUACGGUUCAUCAGGUUCGGGUGACGAUGUUGCAGACUUCGGGCUCGGGUCGGAUCAGUUUUGGUUCAGGUUUGGCUCUGAUUGGGUUUGGGUCAGGUCAGUAACGUUGCAGCUCUGGAAAUCUUUGGGAGCUCCUGUCGGGUCGAACAACAGUGGUGCUAGGUGGCUUUGAGUUCAGAUUUGGUGGACUUUGAAUUUCAGAUGACUGUUGAUGUUGUGAGUUAGUAAUUUGCUCAAAGAGUUUAUGUUCUAGUUCUUUCUCUUAAGAUCUCGGGUUCUCGGUUUGGUUCGGUCAAUAGAAGUCAACGCAGUCAAGGGUGUAGUUCGGGUCUUAUUUCGGGUGUUUUGGGUUCGGUCAAAGCUGGUCAAACACUCAGUUCCGGUUCGGUCCCGCCAAAGAGGGUCAACAUCAGAUCUAUGCGGUUCGGGUGCACGUCAGUUGUGGUUCGGGUUCGUGAAGCGAGUCAACUCGGUCCAACCUGGUCAACUCAGUGAGUCGACCUGGUCAACUCAGUUGACCCGGUCAACACAGUCAAACGUCUCGACGUGAAAGAUUUGGUAAAGAAUUUAGCGUCGCAAUUAAUAUUUACAUUGUUUUUACAUAGGUUUUGUUUAUUUCGUGAAAACGAGCUCGAACCGAACGAUGAGAAUAUAGUUUACAUUUCGAUAUAUUUGACAAAUUACAUAUAUUAUGAUUGAAUAUUGUUGAA
Molecule: long non-coding RNA, 1400 nt
Organism: Helianthus annuus (common sunflower)
Lineage: Eukaryota; Viridiplantae; Streptophyta; Magnoliopsida; Asterales; Asteraceae
Exons: 2
Source: RefSeq, a predicted model, not a curated record